AAUUUGAAAAACUGCGGCGCAGCGGCGGCAGUUUCCUGCGGAUGAUAUUGUAACGAACGAAAGGAACGAGCGAUCGGAACGGAGGUGGCCCGGACACUAGGUAGUCCCGUAGCUUGCGUGUACAGAAUGAACGGUUCUGCCAUAGCGUACACCGUCUUACUGUCUUUUCUUAAUGGAGUUUGGUGCUAAUAUGGCCGCCUCACGUUACGCAUACUUCUUAUUAUAAGUACACGCUCGUAAUAAUCGAGUGCGUACAAGUAUGAUAAUAAUGAUAAUAAUGACGACGAUAAUGAUGACGAAGAUUUUAACGAUGAUGAUGAUGAUGAUCUGCAUUAUGCGUCAACGAAGUGCAGCAGCCCAUAGGAGGGUAGGAAAGUAAUAAAUAUUUGAGAAAGAGCGAAUAAAUAAAUAAAAUAAAUGAUCAAAACGAGGAGGGAGAAAUAUGGAUGGCGAUCACAAACGCAUCACGAACCCGUCGUUAAAACUCUGUGUAAGUUGCAUACUCACGAUCGAGUGCAGAAAUUGUCGGCAAAAACUAUUGGACAAGAAAAAAAAAAAAAAGAAGAAGAAGAAGAAGAAGAAGAAAAUCCAUAAGAACAAGAAUAUUCAAAAUCAUUUGAAACAUUCCACUUGUUAUGGUAUAUUUUUUAUCCUUGAAAUUACCAACUCUAAUUAUACAUGCACGCGUCUGUAUAUCAGAUCAGCGAUGACGUGAGUUGAGUCGACGUUGAAAAAAAAAAAACAAAAAAAACCCACCAAAUGAAAAAAAAUCUAUCAUUCAUAGGCCUUGUAAUUAACCAGAUUGAUAAGUGUUACCUCGUUCCUGCACAUACGUAAUCCGUAAAAUUUAUUACAUUCGAUCUCACGGAGGUAAUGCACAUGAAGCCAAACAUGGUUGAAAUUGCGGUUCCAGCCAGUCAUUGAAUGUGAAAAAAAAAAAAGGAGAAAAAACACAAAAAAUACUGUUCGUCGAUCGAGAUCACCUCGUGCGAUCUUAUUGUGAACCACCUUGAUCAUCGACGAGCGAUCGGCACGGAGAAAAUUCCACAAGGUUUACUCGUUUUAUCGUAAGCGUUGGAUUCAAGGUCGCUUUAAGGAUGUCUGCAUUAUCGUUUCAUUCGGUUCACCGUUAACGAAGGUUAUUUUCCAAAUAAUUUCAGGUCCUUAUUCGUACGGCGGUCAAAAUUUUCUGAACGUAUCUAGUUAUAUAUUAUGCAUAAUAUAGAGAAAAAUUCAAAUUCACCCUUGACCAAUAGGUCGGACACGGUUGUAUAAUUAGACAGGUAGGUAUAUAUGCAUAAUUUUAACGAUCGAUGUUCCUAGUUUGCAAUUUUUCUAUUCAUAAAUAAUAAAUAAUACAGAUAACGAUCGGGUGUUAUCGGAAUUCCGCAAACAAUUGUCAACAGCGUGUAUAUACGGUGCAACCUACGCAUCGUCUUUUUUGCUUGUUUUGUUUUUCAAUUUUCUUUCUCCUGGACUUCACGCGGCCAUUGUUCUAUAAUUGAAGAAUCGGAGGUAUUUAUAGCCGCCUAUCGAACACGCAUAAAAUACCGACGGUGUUGCUUCGUCGUAUGUAACAAUAAUGGAUAAUGACAAUGAUUAUUGUUAUUGUUACGUUAAGUGACCCCAUUCUUUUACAAUGCGUCGGUCGUUUAAAGGCGUUACCUAUACCGAACCUAUACACCAUGCAAUAAUGCACGCUGCAGCGUCGCGAUAAUCGCUAGAGAUUCACCAUUCACGAUUCGUUUUAUUCGAAAUAAUUCGACGCCCCGUGCGGAUACGCAAUGUCAACCUCGUCUCGUACUUCGUUUAUCUUGUGCAAUGUCGUACAAAAUCGUCAACGAUGUAUCGACAACCUUUAACCACGCCGUGUAUACGCACAUGAUCGAUUCCCAUUCGAAACCGAAUGAACCGAGUGAGAAAACCUCCGUCCAUGUACGAUGGUCGUUAUGUAAUAUCUCAUUGUUAUGUUUAUGACCAUCCGACAUUUUUACCUUGGUAUCUAAUUGUUGCGUACACAUAUAUAUAUCUAUAAUUCGCGUAAACGCGAAUAUAAUGCUCUUGAGCGAAAAUAGGAAAGAAAAGACAUCGGUACGGUUGGUAAUUGAAUUAAUUAAUCGGCUAUCAAUUAUCCUUGAAUGAGACGAGAAAGAAGAAAAAGAAGAAGAAAUUUGCGGCACAGGUGUGUUAGUUCGAAACGAAAAUUUUACAAUAAGCGUCGAUGAUGCGCUAUUAUUUAUAAAAUCAAAAUAGAUCGAAUGAUUUAUUAAAUACGCGAUUAAUUUACAAUGCAACUACGUCAAUGGACCGGUUUGACGAGAAUCGUUUUUACCGAUCGUUGAAAGGUUUUUUUUCGGUUUUUUCGUUUUGCGGGGGCAAUUAUCGUUUGAAAUAACGUCCGAAUAUAAUUGAGAUGAAAAUUCCUCGAUUUUUCCUUCUUUCGUUAAUCUCUCAGACGCGGAUUUUCAACGCGGAGGAAAAAGAUGGGAGAAGCCGGGAAAGAUCCACGGUGUAAUUAAACGCGAUUUAUGAACUUGAGCAACCGCGGGAGCGGCGCGCGAUAUUAUGCAGAUUGGACAAGCGCGAGAGAAAAUUAUCGCAAUUCUCGUGCCGCAAGAUCUGCAGCGGAGAAAAAAAAUACACUUAUCAUACCCGCGUAUACGGUGCGUAUAGACGGGUACGCGCGAUGCAAUACACGACAUCAUAUGGGAGAACUGCAAUAAUAUGCAGUCAAGUAAUUUUUGCUAGCGAUACAAUUGAGCAAUAAAAAUCAUAAUUUUCCAUGGCAGAAACGUUGUAAAUAAUGGUAAAAUAAAUGGACAAGUAAUAAUAACGACUAACGCCCACUAAAAUAAAUUCAAAUUUACAAGAUACACGUGUAAACCGGGUGUAUUAAACUCGGCAUACGUAUGGCAUAUAGCGAGACGAUUAGCGCCAGAUCAGAUUUCGCAACUGAAACGAAUAAUCAUGACCCUCUAAAUCUAUGAGCAUACAAACUACGCUGACGAUGAUUUUUUAUUCAUAUAAAUACCCCGUAUUUAAAUGAAUUUAUAAAAUAAACAUCGUAUACCUACUCGCCAAUUUUCAACUAACAAGUAUACCCAAAUCCAAUAUGCGUGUACUUUUCUUUUCGGAGUCCAUGAUUGUUCACAUGGCUAAUUAACCGGUAUUCGAGGAAUUCUACAAUAAUUAUAAUAACAAUUAUAUCGGCUGAAUCGUAUAUAGUUACUCUACUGCAACGUAAUUGGUCGUGAAAUUUUCGCAAUAUCUACUUUACAAUUUUGACAAGCCUUUGUACUCGUUAAAACAUUACAUUAUACCCGUGCUAUGACGCCCGCGCGUUCUCAUACCUGUGCGAACUUUCAACUUUUAAUUGGACACGCUCCAGACGAAAUUAAUAAGCUCAUCUUGAGUUAACUCAAAAUUGUGUCUAACUUUUUUGUCGAUUUAUUUAUUUUUUUCUUUUGUUUAUUUUGGUCAGAAGAGAUUCGUGACAAAAAAAACCUACCGUCUUCACUACCAGGUACCACACCUUCGCUUUAUUUAUAGAAAUAAAAGAACAAAUUUGACAAAAAAAAAAAAAAAAAAACCCAUAUACUUGUGGCGCGCCAUAACCUUGAUUAAUUUUACGUCGUCUAUGCGACUGUAAAAUUAUAUUCUCCUCGAACCUUGUCGUCCAUCGGUCUUAUAAGAGCCUGUUGCCCAACAACCUGUACGUCUAAUACACACGUGUAGAUUUUUUAAAGUUAUUUUCACACCACAAUUCGAUUCACGCGUGAUCAGCUGAUUUUACAUACCUCAUCGCGUGAGUCGACUUGUAUUAUUUCUUCCGACUUUGACUUUUUCUCUUUCGUAUUUUUUAUUAUCGUAUUUUCACCCGAACAUUCUUCGAGAAACUGUUUGAAGAAUAGGGUGAAUCGGAGGGUACCGGUAUUUGGUGAAAUUUUUUAUUCUCGGUUACCCUUUUUUUUUACCGAAUUCAGAAGAACGGUGUAGUCGUCCCUGCGUUGUGUUUUUUGUGAAAAAUUUGAAAACGAAGAUGAAAAAAUUGGCGAAAAUUGUGAACGCAGCCUUACGACGAAAUUCAAUUCGGUAUGCGAGUUUAUAAAAUGCAUGUUUCUUUUGGAGAGAAAAAAAAAAGAAGAAAUAAUCACGAACAACUUUGGACAUCGCGUUCGUCGGCGGCACACAAUGAAUACUGCGAUUGUGACCCUGACCCAGGAGACAAACUUGGAAGGUAUGGCCACGAUUUCAUCCAUCAGCUAGUACCCACCGUCCAUCCGUCCUCAUUGUCAGUCAACCUGCCACACAUAAAUAAUGUAGACUACGAAGGUUUUAUCCUCUACUUACUAACUCAUUUAUUUUUCUUCAUUCUCAAGUGCGGUUGAUAAAGAGUGCACACGCACGCCCGCUAACCACCGAUCUAUUCUGCGCGCGGUUCAAAUUUUCAAUCUCCCACACAUCGUGCCGGUCACGAUUCUCUUUUUUUCGACGCUGCAGCGGCAUCGUAAUGCUGCAUUCUUUCGGUCAAGUUUAAACCAAAUUUGACACAUUGAAACCUUGAAGCGAAUGAUAUUCAUCCUGCAAUUAUUGAUCACGCAAACGUUAAUGAAAAUACGAUUACUUGUAGUUUGCUUUUUAUUUUUUAUUUCUUUUUUUCAUCCUCUCUGCCCAUCGAAUAAUAUCAAUCCAUAAAAUGAAUGGUUCCAUACCUUUAUUUGUUGAAAAACAAACAAAAUUAGACUAGAAAUAAUAAUAACAAUAAAUGAAUAAAUGAGCAGUAUCCAUAUCUCGUCGGGACGGGAAUAUGAACUUUUUGCGAGGCCAGGGACAAAUUGUUUCGCGAGGUCGAACCGAAAAAGGGGGAGAAAAAGUGAAAAAAGCCAAGAACAAAAAAAUACAAAAUUCAAAAUGGAGAAAAAAAUUUCGAACGCUAAUUAUUCGAAGGUUUUCGUUGGGGCAUCGAACCACCGCGUGAAAAAGUU
Long non-coding RNA from Athalia rosae (coleseed sawfly), 4985 nucleotides. RefSeq lists it as uncharacterized. The transcript is spliced from 2 exons. NCBI's taxonomy places the organism in Eukaryota, Metazoa, Arthropoda, Insecta, Hymenoptera, Athaliidae. The record is from RefSeq and is a predicted model, not a curated record.